RNA transcript from Schistocerca serialis cubense, 2189 nucleotides. It is a transcript of the gene named phosphatidylinositol N-acetylglucosaminyltransferase subunit Q, with no coding region annotated. The record is from RefSeq and is a predicted model, not a curated record. Lineage: Eukaryota; Metazoa; Arthropoda; Insecta; Orthoptera; Acrididae. The transcript is spliced from 8 exons.
GCAAAGCACAUGUUCACUUGUUUCAUUGAUGCCAAUAGCAAGGGCAAAAUUAGAAAGCCGACCCUGCCCCACACAGAUUGUCAGUACUGAUGGAGCGCUGUGCGUUUGUUUGCAAUUGAUAAACAAAUAAGCUCCAUGCUUGACAGAUAAUAACAAAAACACAGGGGGUUUGUUUGAGACAAUGAGUGUUGUAGUCAUAUUUCUUCCAACAUUUUUGUACGGAAGUGAUUCAGGACUACUUCAUGGUCUUUAUGUGCAGCAGAACACAGUAAAGGUUUUCUAUGUUACUCAUUUGACUAAAACUUGUCAUUCGGUGUCCAAGACGCCGAAACGGAAAAGAUGUAUUGGCUACUACGCAAGAACUAUUGAUAAUGAAUUUACGACACUUCCAAACGAAAAAGGAAAUUGGCUGAUGUUAAACUUCCAAGAUCAUUCGGUUAUUGUGACAAAAUUAAUAAUAAGUGGGAACCCCGUCACAUUGAUGAAGGGGUGCCGUGUGAUAUGUGUGUUUUAUGACUAUCAUAAAUUUUUUGCUUCAGAAAUCCUUUGUGAAGGACUUGAGAGCACUACUGGCUUCAGUUCGGAUUACUGCAGAUUUUUAGCGAAUUUCUUGAAGUUAGAUUCUGGAUCAAAUGCCCCCGAAAGCCCCAAGUGUUUGGAUUUUUUUGUCAGAGUAGCACAGAGAGCACGGCAAUAUUUGCUAGCUGUGGCCGCUUUUGUGACACCAGUUGUGAGACACACAUCAACAGGUUUACACUUGUGUGACAUCCUUAAUUCAACUGCAUGGCUUUUUGGCCAUGUGGCGCAUUUCAAGAAACCGACACUUAAAAUGGGCAACUUCCUGUUGGCUCUCUUGAUAGAUGUCUUCUGUGGCCUUAUGUUAGUUCGUCUCAUUGUAGAACCGCUUACAGUGAACACUCCAUUUUCGAAAAUGCUUCUUGAUAUGGCUGAGGUCGUUGUCACUACACUCAGAGACUUGUUGCAUUGGCUGAUGGGUGUACCGGCCGGUUUGAAGCUGAACUAUGCAUUAAACAAUAUGCUAGGAAAAUUUUUCCUAUACCACAUAAAUCUUUGGUGGAUGUUUCUUGUUCUUUGUAAACCUUGUUUGGACUUGGCUGUUCAUAUGUUGACAUGGCUUGGAUGUUUAGGACUUACAUUCCAAAUAUGCCUACUGGCUGAUCUGCUAGAUCUUGUCAGUUUUCAUGUAUACUGCAUAUAUGUUUAUGCUGCAAGGCUCUACAGUGUGCAACUGUCAGGUCUUGUUGCUUUGUGGCGGCUUUUCCUUGGCCGCAAGUGGAAUCCGUUGCGAGAGCGUGUUGAUUCCUGCAAAUAUUCGAAUGAUCAACUUUUUGUUGGAACUCUGGCAUUCACCAUUUUGCUCUUCCUUCUCCCAACAACGCUGAUGUACUAUGUUGUCUUCGCAACGUUGCGUUUACUGGUGUUGAUAUUUAGAGGAGUCCUAGCUCAUUUCACUUGGUUACUGCGAGCAUUUCCAGCAUAUUCCACAGUUCUCUGGAUGACAAGAGCAACUACAGUCACAAGCUCCGUGCAGGUUUCAGUAUGUACAGAAAUAUCUGGAAAUGGUCCUCUCUAUCUUGCUGUUGAACCAGUAAUAGGUUCUUGGUGGUCAACGGUAGUUCGCGGUGUUCCUGAUUCGCUGCAACGUCCACCACCUGUGCAGUGGAGUCAGCUACUCAAACACUUAUGCACUGGAAGAUUGGUAUAUCCUGUUUAUAUUUUCUGAAACAGAUACUAUGUAUCUGUUAUUAAUGACUGUGAAAGUGAUGAUCCUGAUUACAAAGACAGUACCCAUCGUCUAAUUUUGGAGAGAAGAUAAGAGCUACACAGAACUGAGAAAAAAGGAACUACCGCCCACAUAUGCAGCUCUUUAGCAAGCAUCACAGACUAAUGAAAGGCCAUGAAGAGACUGACUGCCAGUGCAUUUUAAUAAUCCUUUCCAGCACCAUGGGCUGGCACAAAAGAAAUUGUACAGCUGGUGCCGACAGCUGAAGAAUAUGCUGAUUACUUCAUUACUUCUUGUGGCAUGCAAUCCUAUGAAGUUCAGAGUAUGAACUGCACAUGGAGAAAAAGCUACCAUGGAUAAUGUCUCUAACUUUUUCUUACACACUUUUUAUUUGCCCUGCCAUAUUUGAUCCAUUAUCAAAGCACUGACUACAACAGGGCUGUAA